UAGUUUUGUUCUUUAAACCUAAAGAAUUUGGCGGUGUUUUAUUCUAUUCAGAGGAAUCUGUCUCAUUAUCGAUAAUCCUCGUUUUAUCUUUCUUUUUCUUGUUUAGUAUGUAUAUCGCCGUUAUAAGUUGAUUUUUUUAGAAUAUUAACUUUUAGAUUAAUUUGUCUAUAUUUCAGGUCAAGGUGCAGCUUAUGAUUAAGUGUUGAUGGAUUACAAUAUUAUUUAAUAUUACGAAUAUAAUUUUUAUAAUUUUAUUGAAGGUGGAUUUGAUAGUAAUUUUGAUUAUAGUGUUAAUUUGAUUAUUAGUUCUAAAAUGAGUACACAUCGCCCGUCGCUCUA
Molecule: ribosomal RNA, 339 nt
Filed under: Lonchodiodes samarensis
Lineage: Eukaryota; Metazoa; Arthropoda; Insecta; Phasmatodea; Lonchodidae
Description: partial small subunit ribosomal RNA
Source: RNAcentral